Molecule: ribosomal RNA, 208 nt
Filed under: uncultured bacterium
Lineage: Bacteria
Description: partial 16S ribosomal RNA
Rfam family: Bacterial small subunit ribosomal RNA
Source: RNAcentral
CGUGUAGGCGGGAAGGAAAGUCAGAUGUGAAAUCCCCAGGCUCAACCUGGGAACUGCAUUUGAAACUCCCUUUCUUGAGUAUCGGAGAGGAAAGCGGAAUUCCUGGUGUAGAGGUGAAAUUCGUAGAUAUCAGGAGGAACACCAGCGGCGAAGGCGGCUUUCUGGACGAUAACUGACGCUGAGACGCGAAAGCGUGGGGAAGCAAACA